AUUGAACGCUGGCGGCAUGCUUUACACAUGCAAGUCGAACGGCAGCGCGGGCUUCGGCCUGGCGGCGAGUGGCGAACGGGUGAGUAAUGCGUCGGAACGUGCCCAGUAGUGGGGGAUAGCCCGGCGAAAGCCGGAUUAAUACCGCAUACGACAUGAGGGUGAAAGCGGGGGACCGAAAGGCCUCGCGCUAUUGGAGUGGCCGAUGUCGGAUUAGCUAGUGGGUGGGGUAAAGGCUUACCAAGGCGACGAUCCGUAGCUGGUCUGAGAGGAGGACCAGCCACACUGGGACUGAGACACGGCCCAGACUCCUACGGGAGGCAGCAGUGGGGAAUUUUGGACAAUGGGGGCAACCCUGAUCCAGCCAUGCCGCGUGCGGGAAGAAGGCCUUCGGGUUGUAAACCGCUUUUGUUCGGGAAGAAAUCCUCUGGGCUAAUACCCCGGGGGGAUGACGGUACCGGAAGAGUAAGCACCGGCUAACUACGUG
Molecule: ribosomal RNA, 484 nt
Filed under: uncultured bacterium
Lineage: Bacteria
Description: partial 16S ribosomal RNA
Rfam family: Bacterial small subunit ribosomal RNA
Source: RNAcentral